This is a long non-coding RNA of Centruroides sculpturatus (bark scorpion), 674 nucleotides long. RefSeq lists it as uncharacterized. The record is from RefSeq and is a predicted model, not a curated record. The transcript has 5 exons. NCBI's taxonomy places the organism in Eukaryota, Metazoa, Arthropoda, Arachnida, Scorpiones, Buthidae.
UAUAGUAAAGUUACUCCAAUCACAGACAUCAAUGGUUACCAAUUAUAUAUUGCUGUUGAUUUUAGUAACGUUGUUAAAAGAAACAAACGCUCAAUUACCAUGCCCUUUACCAGCAGAAGUUAUCUUUUCUGGAGCGGAAAACGCUGCCGUUCCUCCAACUUUUUUUCUUUUUUAUAGCCGAGAGAAUCCAGAAUACCCUCAGAAUUUAACAUUUACUAACUGUACAGGAAAUACCAACUACAAUCCGAAUAAGAAAACUGUCAUUGUGGUACAUGGCUAUCAAGGAAAUCCCAAUGGCGAAGAACUUGUCUUUUUAAAAUCGGCUUAUUUACAUUAAGAAGAUUGUAAUGUGAUCUUUGUGGAUUGGAGUAUAGCGGCUGCAGUCUUUUUUUUCCCAGACGCAAUAAGAAAUACUCUAAUAACAGGAAAAUAUGUUGCAGAACAACUGGAAAUUUGGAAGGAAAAUUGUAAGGAAAUCAACUUUGAUAAAUUUCACGUUAUUGGAUUUAGUCUUGGAGGUCAGACAGGAGGAUUUAUUGGAAAAUACAUGAAAACGGGAAAGAUUGGAAGAAUUACUGCAUUAGAUUUUGCAGGUAUUUGUUUCGUUAAAUUUCCACCAAAAUAUAAGCUUCACUAUACAGAUGCAAAGUUCGUCGACGUUAUUACAGGAUCGG